Molecule: ribosomal RNA, 220 nt
Filed under: uncultured Methanomicrobiales archaeon
Lineage: Archaea; Methanobacteriati; Methanobacteriota; Methanomicrobia; Methanomicrobiales
Description: partial 16S ribosomal RNA
Rfam family: Archaeal small subunit ribosomal RNA
Source: RNAcentral
GAGGAGGAAGGAAUGGGCAACGGUAGGUCAGCAUGCCCCGAAUUAUCUGGGCUACACGCGGGCUACAAUGGGUGGGACAAUGGGUAUCGACACCGAAAGGUGAAGGCAAUCUCCUAAACCCAUCCGUAGUUCGGAUUGCGGGCUGCAACUCGCCCACAUGAAGCUGGAAUCUGUAGUAAUCGUGUCUCAAAAUGGCACGGUGAAUAUGUCCCUGCUCCUU